This 492-nucleotide ribosomal RNA is filed under the name uncultured bacterium. Its description in RNAcentral is "partial 16S ribosomal RNA". It matches the Rfam family "Bacterial small subunit ribosomal RNA", at positions 29 to 507 of the family's 1533-position model. The record is from RNAcentral.
AGUGAACGCUGGCGGUAGGCCUAACACAUGCAAGUCGAACGGCAGCACAGUAAGAGCUUGCUCUUACGGGUGGCGAGUGGCGGACGGGUGAGGAAUACAUCGGAAUCUACUUUUUCGUGGGGGAUAACGUAGGGAAACUUACGCUAAUACCGCAUACGACCUACGGGUGAAAGCAGGGGAUCUUCGGACCUUGCGCGAUUGAAUGAGCCGAUGUCGGAUUAGCUAGUUGGCGGGGUAAAGGCCCACCAAGGCGACGAUCCGUAGCUGGUCUGAGAGGAUGAUCAGCCACACUGGAACUGAGACACGGUCCAGACUCCUACGGGAGGCAGCAGUGGGGAAUAUUGGACAAUGUGCGCAAGCCUGCUCCAGCCAUACCGCGUGGGUGAAGAAGGCCUUCGGGUUGUAAAGCCCUUUUGUUGGGAAAGAAAAGCAGCAGGUUAAUACCCCGCUGUUCUGACGGUACCCAAAGAAUAAGCACCGGCUAACUACGUG